CCUACGGGAGGCAGCAGUGAGGAAUAUUGGUCAAUGGGCGCGAGCCUGAACCAGCCAAGUAGCGUGAAGGAUGACUGCCCUACGGGUUGUAAACUUCUUUUAUAAAGGAAUAAAGUGAGGCCCGUGUGCCUUUUUGUAUGUCCUUUAUGAAUAAGGAUCGGCUAACUCCGUGCCAGCAGCCGCGGUAAUACGGAGGAUCCGAGCGUUAUCCGGAUUUAUUGGGUUUAAAGGGAGCGUAGAUGGGUUGUUAAGUCAGUUGUGAAAGUGUGCGGCUCAACCGUAAAAUUGCAAUGGAUACUGGCAGCCUUGAGUACAGGUGAGGUAGGCGGAAUGCGUGGUGUAGCGGUGAAAUGCUUAGAUAUCACGAAGAACUCCGAUUGCGAAGGCAGCUUACUAAACGGCCACUGACAUUGAUGCUCGAAAGUGUGGGUAUCAAACAGGAUUAGAUACCCUUGUAGUC
Molecule: ribosomal RNA, 460 nt
Filed under: uncultured bacterium
Lineage: Bacteria
Description: partial 16S ribosomal RNA
Rfam family: Bacterial small subunit ribosomal RNA
Source: RNAcentral